This 403-nucleotide ribosomal RNA is filed under the name Verrucomicrobiota bacterium. RNAcentral's name for it is "Verrucomicrobia bacterium partial 16S ribosomal RNA". It matches the Rfam family "Bacterial small subunit ribosomal RNA", at positions 355 to 776 of the family's 1533-position model. Lineage: Bacteria; Pseudomonadati; Verrucomicrobiota. The record is from RNAcentral.
UGGGGAAUAUUGCACAAUGGGCGCAAGCCUGAUGCAGCAACGCUGCGUGAACGAUGAAGUUCUUCGGAUCGUAAAGCUCUGUUGCAUGGGGAGAUAAUGACGGUACCCUGUGAGGAAGCCCCGGCUAACUACGUGCCAGCAGCCGCGGUAAUACGUAGGGGGCUAGCGUUAUCCGGAUUUACUGGGCGUAAAGGGUGCGUAGGUGGUCUUUCAAGUCGGUGGUUAAAGGCUACGGCUCAACCGUAGUUAGCCUCCGAAACUGGAAGACUUGAGUGCAGGAGAGGAAAGUGGAAUUCCCAGUGUAGCGGUGAAAUGCGUAGAUAUUGAGAGGAACACCAGUAGCGAAGGCGGCUGUCUGGACUAAAACUGACACUGAGGCACGACAGCGUGGGUAGCAAACAGG